UACCAACCCGAUGCAAACUGCGAAUACCGGAGAAUGUUAUCACGGGAGACACACGGCGGGUGCUAACGUCCGUCGUGAAGAGGGAAACAACCCAGACCGCCAGCUAAGGUCCCAAAGUCAUGGUUAAGUGGGAAACGAUGUGGGAAGGCCCAGACAGCCAGGAUGUUGGCUUAGAAGCAGCCAUCAUUUAAAGAAAGCGUAAUAGCUCACUGGUCGAGUCGGCCUGCGCGGAAGAUGUAACGGGGCUAAACCAUG
RNAcentral lists this ribosomal RNA (255 nucleotides) under Escherichia coli. RNAcentral describes it as "partial 23S ribosomal RNA". It matches the Rfam family "Bacterial large subunit ribosomal RNA", at positions 937 to 1191 of the family's 2925-position model. Lineage: Bacteria; Pseudomonadati; Pseudomonadota; Gammaproteobacteria; Enterobacterales; Enterobacteriaceae. The record is from RNAcentral.